Molecule: long non-coding RNA, 3183 nt
Organism: Cervus elaphus (red deer)
Lineage: Eukaryota; Metazoa; Chordata; Mammalia; Artiodactyla; Cervidae
Exons: 3
Source: RefSeq, a predicted model, not a curated record
GGGUCACAAAGAGCCAGAUACGACUGAGCGACUGGACUGAACUGACCUGAGGAACUAGAACAAGGAGAUUCUCCUUCCCAGCUCUUUCCAUCUCUCCCGUCAGUGAAGGGCAGCCCUCCUCCUCGCUAAGGCUGUUCCUCAAGCCUGUCAGCUAUGUUACAGGCCUUGCUCUGCCAACCAGGCCCCUUAUUUUUGGCUUCUCUCAGACUUACUCUCCCUGGGAACCUGACAGCUCUGUCUGCUGUCUCUUCUGAAGUCUGCCCUGGCCUCCUUAACAUGCUGCCUCCCGCUUCCCCACUGCGCUUCUGACUUCUCUUCCUCAGUCUUCUUUCCUGGAUUGUCCUGCUCUACUUCACUUAAAACAUCAGUUUCCUGAGGAGAUGGUUCGAUGGCAUCACCAACUCAAAAGACCCGAAUUGGGCAAACUCUGGUAGAGAGUGGACCACAGAGGAGCCUAACAUGCUGCAGGCCAUGGGGUCACAAAGAGUUGGACACAGUUUAGCAACUGAACAACCCUCAGUUACCUGGGGUCCUCUCUGGUCCUCCUGCUUCCUCUCCCUCCCUACUCAUCCUGGGUGACCUCACUGAUGCCCACAGUGAGGGUCUCUAGCCCCAAACACACUGUUGUCUUGCAUGCUGGCUAUUUCCACAUGGAUAUCCCAUACUCACCUCAGUCUUUUCAAAGCAAAAUGAAUCAUCUUCCUCCCAAACCUGAUCUCUCCCUGUUUCCUAUGUAAGCCAGCAGGCUGGUCAUCACAGUCACCUGAGCCAGCAACCGGGGAGUCAGUCUAGACUCCCCUCCAUCACGUCUGUCCCCCACCUUCCACCAGCUCCUUGGUCUCAUACCCUCCACUCAGAUCUCUCUCUCCUCCAUCCACACCUGCUGAGUGGUGGCCUUUAUCCAUUCUCAACUCAUUCACUGUGAAAGUGAAACCAUGAACCUCUGACUGGGACUUGAACCCAUGGGCUAGGACUCGAAUCCAGGCAAAACCCACACUGGGACUUGAACCGACAGUCUUUUAACUGAGAUCACACCCCGUCUCAGAACUUAAUGACACUCAGGUUCUUGAUGUCUCAUCACAGAAAGAAUCCAGUAAGAGAAAGUGAUAGGUAAGAAGUGGGUUUAUUUGGAGUGAAACACACUCCACAGACAGAGUGCGGGCCAUCUCAGAGACUGAGAGCAGCAGGGUGUGGGGUUGUCAGUUUUUGUAGGGCUGGGUAAUUCCAUAGGUUAAGGAGUGGGAGGGUUAUUCCCACUGUUUGGGGAAAGUGUGAAAGUGCUAGUGGCUCAGUCAUACCCAACUCUUUGUGACUCCAUGGACUGUAGCCCACCAGGCUCCUCUGUCCAUGGAAUUCUCCAAGCAAGAAUACUGGACUGGGUUGCCAUGCCCUCCUCCAGGGGAUCUUCCCGACUCAGGGAUCAAACCUGGGUCUUCUGCAUUGCAGGCAAUUCUUUACCAUCGGAGUCACAGGGAAGGGGCAGAGACUUCCAGGGACUGGGCCGCCACCACUUUUUGCCUUUACGGUCAGCCUUGGAACUGUCAUGGUGCCCAUGAGUGUGUCGUUAGCUCGCUGAUGUGCUACGACGAGCGCACACUGAGGCUCAAGGCCUAGCAGAGGUAGACUCAUCCACCAUCUUGGACCUAUCUGGUUCCCAUCAGUUUAUGUCACUUCCUCUGGCUAUGUCAUUCUUUUACAGACAUGCCCUGUCCCCUUCCCUCCUGUUUCAAGCACUCCCAACAGGUCUCUCUGUCAUCCACCCCGCUCCUUCAAUCUCACAUGUCUCUAUUCUGGUCUCUACUGUCCUGCCAGAGCAUUCUUUCUAAAAUGAGAAUGACUUGAUCCCCGAAGUGGUUCCCCAUGUCCUUCAGCAGAAGCCCGGUGCUGGAUCUGGAACCUACUUGCCUACCUCUGACUCCUCUACUGCCAAUCCACAGGUACCCUCCGGCCAAUCAGACUCACGCCUGCAUGCCUUUGUACAUGCUGUGCCCUCCUCUUGGAAUACUUUCCCUCACUCCACCGUCACUUUUAUCCAUCCACAUGAAAAAUUCCUACUGAGGCUUCAAGUCCAAGUGUUAACUCCUCCUGGAAGACUUUACUGACUCCACUGGGUUUAGAAAGGUCUCCUUCUUCAGUCACCAAAGGCAUUCCACUAUGACAGCUAUUAAUCACACCAUAUGGAACUCAUCUGUUUCCCACAACAGACCUCAAGGACACUCUGCUUCCUGAAUCAUCUGUGCAAAUAAAUAAUACCUCCUGGGGUGAAAUCUGUGUCCAACCAACCAAAUCAACCAGAAGACAUCCAGCUUCAGAAACUCUGAGAUCCCAGGCAGCUUGACCACUAAAGUCCUUUCAACUUUAAUUCCAGUGCAGCAGGGGCUGCCAGAGUCCCAGACUGUAGUAGCCCACAAACUCAGAGACGUCAUUACCCAGGUGAGGCACUCACAUGCCUGACGUGUUAAUGAUUCUUCACAAAUGUCCAUGGAGCUGAAUUCAGUGAAUAAACCAGAGCGCUGCUUAAAAGAGGAUGAGACACAGGAAGUCCUAGUCUCCCAGAAGAGAAGCACAUUCUAAAAUAAAACAUCGCAGCCCUUUCUAGGUCACAGAAUGCUUUCACAUACCUUCCACCGUUUAAGCUUGUACUACCCUGGGACCAUCAUUAUCAUCAGUACGUGGCUAAAGAAGUAAGGAAUGAGAAAGGUCAAGUCAAAGAGCAUGGCGAUCAGGUGACACUCAAAGGUACUCACUCUGACUUCCAAUCUCCCACUCUUUUCUGGAUUCCGAAAAGAAGCUAGCUGAUGUAGUGGAUAUUCUGGCUCAAGGAACAACCAAAGAGCUGCUAACAGAGUUAUUAGCCUCAGAGAGCAAAGAUUGUGAAGACGGUGGUAUGGAAAACAUGUUUAUCCAGAACCAGCCAGACCCUGGAGGGGCCACAUAUUUGUGACGGGAAUAUAAGAGCUCUUUUCUGUGUUACUUCAACCAAAACUGACUGACUCCCACUUGAUUCACAGGAAAGUAGUAUAAAUUCUUGUAUAGCGCCUUCCUCUCACGCCUACCCUGAUAACACCAGCAAUAAAUGCCUAGCACUGUUUUUCAUUGUGCACUUGAUAUAUUCAUUUAUUUGGCCACACUGUACAACAGGUGGAACUUUCACGGCAGGGAUCAAAUCAGUGCCCCUGCAGU